GAGGGAAGAGGGAAGAGGGAAGAGGGAAGAGGGAAGAGGGAAGAGGGAAGAGGGAAGAGGGAAGAGGGAAGAGGGAAGAGGGAAGAGGGAAGAGGGAAGAGGGAGAGGGAGUAUUUAUGCAAUCCGGUACGGCAGCCCAACGCGUGCUUGGUACGGCGCCUAGUACCAUCGACGUUCCAGCUUUUCAUCACCCCCGCCGCCCCGUAUUCACUCGCACCCCGUAUUUACCCGCCUCCGAAACC
RNAcentral lists this long non-coding RNA (242 nucleotides) under Volvox carteri. RNAcentral's name for it is "long non-coding RNA (VCAR_LNC000626)". Lineage: Eukaryota; Viridiplantae; Chlorophyta; Chlorophyceae; Chlamydomonadales; Volvocaceae. The record is from RNAcentral.